GUCCACGCUGUAAACGAUGGAUGCUAGCCGUCAGCAAGCAUGCUUGUUGGUGGCGCAGCUAACGCAUUAAGCAUCCCGCCUGGGGAGUACGGCCGCAAGGUUAAAACUCAAAGGAAUUGACGGGGCCCGCACAAGCGGUGGAGCAUGUGGUUUAAUUUCGACGCAACGCGAAGAACCUUACCAACCCUUGACAUGUCCGGUCGGUUUCCAGAGAUGGACUCCUCCCAGCAAUGGGCCGGAACACAGGUGCUGCAUGGCUGUCGU
This 264-nucleotide ribosomal RNA is filed under the name uncultured bacterium. RNAcentral describes it as "partial 16S ribosomal RNA". It matches the Rfam family "Bacterial small subunit ribosomal RNA", at positions 793 to 1055 of the family's 1533-position model. The record is from RNAcentral.